Molecule: ribosomal RNA, 312 nt
Filed under: uncultured bacterium
Lineage: Bacteria
Description: bacterial SSU rRNA
Rfam family: Bacterial small subunit ribosomal RNA
Source: RNAcentral
GACGAACGCUGGCGGCGUGCCUAAUACAUGCAAGUCGAACGGUAACAGAGAGAAGCUUGCUUCUCUGCUGACGAGCGGCGGACGGGUGAGUAAUGCCUAGGAAUCUGCCUAGUAAUGGGGGAUAACUUGCCGAAAGGUAAGCUAAUACCGCAUACGUCCUACGGGAGAAAGGAGGGGACUCUUCGGAGCCUUUCGCUAUUAGAUGAGCCUAGGUCGGAUUAGUUAGUUGGUGAGGUAAUGGCUCACCAAGACCGCGAUCCGUAACUGGUCUGAGAGGGUGAUCGGCCACAUUGGGACUGAGACACGGCCCAG